RNAcentral lists this small RNA (125 nucleotides) under Marmota monax (woodchuck). Lineage: Eukaryota; Metazoa; Chordata; Mammalia; Rodentia; Sciuridae. The record is from RNAcentral.
GCCAGGUGUGGUGGCACACUUCUGUAAUCCCAGCUGCUCGGGAGGCUGAGGCAGGAGGAUGGCGAGUUCAAAGCCAGCCUCAGCAACAGAGAGGUGCUAAGUAACUCAGUGAGACCCUGUCUCCA